AACGAACGCUGGCGGCAUGCCUAACACAUGCAAGUCGAACGAGACCUUCGGGUCUAGUGGCGCACGGGUGCGUAACGCGUGGGAACCUGCCCUUAGGCUCGGAAUAACUCCCCGAAAGGGGUGCUAAUACCGGAUAAUGUCUUCGGACCAAAGAUUUAUCGCCUUUGGAUGGGCCCGCGUUGGAUUAGCUAGUUGGUAGGGUAAAAGCCUACCAAGGCGUCGAUGCAUAGCUGGGUUGAGAGGAAGGUCAGCCACACUGGGACUGGGACACGGCCGAGACUCCUACGGGAGGCAGCAGUGGGGAAUAUAGGACAAUGGGCGAAAGCCUGAUCCAGCAAGGCCGCGUGAGUGAUGAAGGCCUUAGGGUUGUAAAGCUCUUUUACCCGGGAUGAUAAUGACAGUACCGGGAGAAUAAGCUCCGGCUAACUCCGUG
This 433-nucleotide ribosomal RNA is filed under the name uncultured bacterium. RNAcentral's name for it is "partial 16S ribosomal RNA". It matches the Rfam family "Bacterial small subunit ribosomal RNA", at positions 29 to 507 of the family's 1533-position model. The record is from RNAcentral.